AGUGAACGCUGGCGGUAGGCCUAACACAUGCAAGUAGAACGGCAGCACAGUAAGAGCUUGCUCUUACGGGUGGUGAGUGGCGGACGGGUGAGGAAUACAUCGGAAUCUACUUUUUCGUGGGGGAUAACGUAGGGAAACUUACGCUAAUACCGCAUACGACCUACGGGUGAAAGCAGGGGAUCUUCGGACCUUGCGCGAUUGAAUGAGCCGAUGUCGGAUUAGCUAGUUGGCGGGGUAAAGGCCCACCAAGGCGACGAUCCGUAGCUGGUCUGAGAGGAUGAUCAGCCACACUGGAACUGAGACACGGUCCAGACUCCUACGGGAGGCAGCAGUGGGGAAUAUUGGACAAUGGGCGCAAGCCUGAUCCAGCCAUACCGCGUGGGUGAAGAAGGCCUUCGGGUUGUAAAGCCCUUUUGUUGGGAAAGAAAAGCAGCAGGUUAAUACCCCGCUGUUCUGACGGUACCCAAAGAAUAAGCACCGGCUAACUUCGUG
This 492-nucleotide ribosomal RNA is filed under the name uncultured bacterium. Its description in RNAcentral is "partial 16S ribosomal RNA". It matches the Rfam family "Bacterial small subunit ribosomal RNA", at positions 29 to 507 of the family's 1533-position model. The record is from RNAcentral.